AGAGUUUGAUUAUGGCUCAGAACGUACGCUGGCGGCACGCCUAACACAUGCAAGUCGAACGAAGUAGCAAUACUUAGUGGCAGACGGGUGAGUAACAUGUAGGUAUCUGCCCUUUGGCCUGGAAUAACACGAGGAAACUUGUGCUAAUACCGGAUAAGUCUUUACGGAGAAAGCUUUAUGCACCAUUGGAUGAGCCUGCACUUGAUUAGUUUGUUGGUGGGGUAAUGGCCUACCAAGACUGUGAUCAAUAGCUGAUUUGAGAGGAUGAUCAGCCACAUUGGGACUGAGACACGGCCCAAACUCCUACGGGAGGCAGCAGUGGGGAAUCUUGCACAAUGGAGGAAACUCUGAUGCAGCGAUGCCGCGUGAGUGAAGAAGGCCCUUGGGUUGUAAAGCUCUUUCGUCGGGGAAGAAAAUGACUGUACCCGAAUAAGAAGGUCCGGCUAACUUCGUGCCAGCCGCCGCGGUAAUUC
Molecule: ribosomal RNA, 473 nt
Filed under: uncultured bacterium
Lineage: Bacteria
Description: bacterial SSU rRNA
Rfam family: Bacterial small subunit ribosomal RNA
Source: RNAcentral